This 383-nucleotide ribosomal RNA is filed under the name uncultured bacterium. RNAcentral describes it as "bacterial SSU rRNA". It matches the Rfam family "Bacterial small subunit ribosomal RNA", at positions 28 to 415 of the family's 1533-position model. The record is from RNAcentral.
GAUGAACGCUGGCGGCAUGCCUUACACAUGCAAGUCGAACGGCAGCACGGGGCAACCUGGUGGCGAGUGGCGAACGGGUGAGUAAUGCAUCGGAACGUGCCAUUGAGUGGGGGAUAACGUAGCGAAAGUUGCGCUAAUACCGCAUAUUCUGUGAGCAGGAAAGCAGGGGACCGCAAGGCCUUGCGCUCUUUGAGCGGCCGAUGUCAGAUUAGCUAGUUGGUGAGGUAACGGCUUACCAAGGCGACGAUCUGUAGCGGGUCUGAGAGGAUGAUCCGCCACACUGGAACUGAGACACGGUCCAGACUCCUACGGGAGGCAGCAGUGGGGAAUUUUGGACAAUGGGCGCAAGCCUGAUCCAGCCAUGCCGCGUGAGUGAAGAAGGC